AAUACUGUGAGAAACAUGAGGUAAACUGAGCCACAGGGAGGACUGCAAUGUCAACCUCACCUAGAUGUCUACAAUACCUUACUCCAAAAAGAUUCUCACGGUGACAGAGCUUAAGAUCUGGUCCGUUGACUUGAGUAAUUUGGACUUCAGUUGCACAUAUCAAAGCAAUUUACAAGCAAGCAUUCAUUAAUAAGGCACAACUGAACAGUGAAUCCAUUUUUUUUUCAGACUUCAGAUCGUCUUUGUAGAGCUUUUCUAAUUUUAUGUAUUAGUUUCAAAUAUGUCUGCCAGACACGGUAACAGCCUCACUGACGCCAUAAAAGGUAAGAACAUUUUCUUCUUCCUACUAGUACGCUGACUUCUCCCAUUUUUGAUCAUAUUUGGAAUGUUUCUCAAGUGUCUUUUUAAAUCAAAGGACACCUUUCCAAAAAGGGGAUCUUUUAAGAAAGCAUACCAUUUUUGGGUGACAAUUUCCUAUUUAUCUUUUAGACUGAGCUUGUCCUGAGUGCAUUCAUUGACUUCAUUAUGUGUUUUUUUUUUAAAUAAUAUCUCAGCUAAGCCAAAAAAAUCUUCUUGAUCCGACCCCUCUGCAGAUAUUAUCCUACUCUGCAGCAUUGUUUAAGUCUUAAAAAAUAAGGUCCUAAGCCUGUAAAGGACCAUAGAGACUGUGUUACUUUCUUCUUAAGCGGCUGGUAAAACCUUUCUGCAACUUGAGACUCUCGUGAGUUACAGAAAGAAAAAUGUAAGCAUUUGUUUCAGACCUUUAUUGAACAUAUAGGGGUCAUCCACAUGAGACAGCAAUGGAUGACACCCAA
This 815-nucleotide long non-coding RNA is filed under the name Dromaius novaehollandiae (emu). RNAcentral describes it as "lncRNA (ENSDNVG00000005136.1)". Lineage: Eukaryota; Metazoa; Chordata; Aves; Casuariiformes; Dromaiidae. The record is from RNAcentral.